AUGGAUGCAUAUACACCUAUGAGCCAAAAUCACGAGUCUCUCUUAGAUGCUCGUGGGAUUGGAGUUGUAUUCUAUCCUAAGCUCCAAGUGGUGCAUCUGCAGGCGCCCAACCUCUGCUCUUGUUCCGCCCAGUUUAGCUCCCUGCCGUUCCAGUUCUCACUAGUUUGGCUCCCCGCCGACCUUGAUUCUGGAGCAAAGCCCAAUCACAAGCCAAAGCCUGCCAUAGAAGCUAAGAUAGUAGCUUUUCUCUCCCCACCCUCCACCCCGAAUCGGCGCUCGCCCGUCUGCAGCAUGGCGCGGUACUUUGAUGAUGAGAAACCUCCAACUUCAGAUGCAGGUACGGAGAACAACGUUGGGAUUGGGCUAGUGAGGAUGAAAAGGCCGGCCUAUGGCAAGAAAGAGGUGGCGCUGACAGCUGACUCCGUUGCGGUCAUGGUGGAGCUCAACGCCACAUCCUCCGCCAUGGCGAGGGAGGGGCUCGAUCUGGUGGUCGUGUUGGACAUACAGCUUAGCUGGGAGGGAGGGGAUGUCAAGUUCUCAAAGGUUAAGGAGGCGAUAGAGUUCUUAAUCAUGAAGCUCACCCCCAUGGAUCGUCUCUCCAUGGUCUUCGGAAAGGAUACCGCCGGCGUCGAGCGCCGUCUCUGCCCGCUGAGAUGCAUGACUCGAGCUGGCCAGGCCGAUCUCAAGGACCUCAUCAGCGCCAGCGGCCAGGACAACCUUUCUCUGAACCUCGAGAAGGGCUUGACUGAAGCGUUGGCCGUUAUCCGCAGCCGCAUCCACACAGAAGGCCGCUCCGCCAACAUCAUCUUCUUAACCGACGACAGAGAAGGCACUGGUGACGCUCUCUCAGUCGAUCCCGGCAAUGUCGCUGUCCACACGUUCGGCUUCGGCAAAAACGCAGGCAUUGAGGUAGGUGCUACUCCGGCCGGCACAACAAAUUGCUACGUUUUUACUACCUCCGUUCAAAAUAAGAUUCAUGGUAUUAGUUUAGAUAAUGGUUUGAACUAA
Molecule: ribosomal RNA, 1008 nt
Filed under: Triticum aestivum (bread wheat)
Lineage: Eukaryota; Viridiplantae; Streptophyta; Magnoliopsida; Poales; Poaceae
Description: partial small subunit ribosomal RNA
Source: RNAcentral